This 1356-nucleotide ribosomal RNA is filed under the name 'Macrosteles sexnotatus' phytoplasma. Its description in RNAcentral is "bacterial SSU rRNA". It matches the Rfam family "Bacterial small subunit ribosomal RNA", at positions 22 to 1381 of the family's 1533-position model. The record is from RNAcentral. Lineage: Bacteria; Bacillati; Mycoplasmatota; Mollicutes; Acholeplasmatales; Acholeplasmataceae. RNAcentral also lists the same sequence under 1 other name.
GCUCAGGAUUAACGCUGGCGGCGUGCCUAAUACAUGCAAGUCGAACGGAAGUUUAAGCAAUUAAACUUUAGUGGCGAACGGGUGAGUAACGCGUAAGCAAUCUGCCCCUAAGACGAGGAUAACAGUUGGAAACGACUGCUAAGACUGGAUAGGAGACAAGAAGGCAUCUUCUUGUUUUUAAAAGACCUAGCAAUAGGUAUGCUUAGGGAGGAGCUUGCGUCACAUUAGUUAGUUGGUGGGGUAAAGGCCUACCAAGACUAUGAUGUGUAGCCGGGCUGAGAGGUUGAACGGCCACAUUGGGACUGAGACACGGCCCAAACUCCUACGGGAGGCAGCAGUAGGGAAUUUUCGGCAAUGGAGGAAACUCUGACCGAGCAACGCCGCGUGAACGAUGAAGUAUUUCGGUACGUAAAGUUCUUUUAUUAGGGAAGAAUAAAUGAUGGAAAAAUCAUUCUGACUGUACCUAAUGAAUAAGCCCCGGCUAACUAUGUGCCAGCAGCCGCGGUAAUACAUAGGGGGCAAGCGUUAUCCGGAAUUAUUGGGCGUAAAGGGUGCGUAGGCGGUUAAAUAAGUUUAUGGUCUAAGUGCAAUGCUCAACAUUGUGAUGCUAUAAAAACUGUUUAGCUAGAGUAAGAUAGAGGCAAGUGGAAUUCCAUGUGUAGUGGUAAAAUGCGUAAAUAUAUGGAGGAACACCAGUAGCGAAGGCGGCUUGCUGGGUCUUUACUGACGCUGAGGCACGAAAGCGUGGGGAGCAAACAGGAUUAGAUACCCUGGUAGUCCACGCCGUAAACGAUGAGUACUAAACGUUGGGUAAAACCAGUGUUGAAGUUAACACAUUAAGUACUCCGCCUGAGUAGUACGUACGCAAGUAUGAAACUUAAAGGAAUUGACGGGACUCCGCACAAGCGGUGGAUCAUGUUGUUUAAUUCGAAGGUACCCGAAAAACCUCACCAGGUCUUGACAUGCUUCUGCAAAGCUGUAGAAACACAGUGGAGGUUAUCAGUUGCACAGGUGGUGCAUGGUUGUCGUCAGCUCGUGUCGUGAGAUGUUGGGUUAAGUCCCGCAACGAGCGCAACCCUUAUUGUUAGUUACCAGCACGUAAUGGUGGGGACUUUAGCAAGACUGCCAGUGAUAAAUUGGAGGAAGGUGGGGACGACGUCAAAUCAUCAUGCCCCUUAUGACCUGGGCUACAAACGUGAUACAAUGGCUGUUACAAAGGGUAGCUGAAGCGCAAGUUUUUGGCGAAUCUCAAAAAAACAGUCUCAGUUCGGAUUGAAGUCUGCAACUCGACUUCAUGAAGUUGGAAUCGCUAGUAAUCGCGAAUCAGCAUGUCGCGGUGAAUACGUUCUCGGGGUU